CCGGAUGUGUUCUGGACCACGCUGGCCGACGUCUCGUCGCUCGAACAGUGCGUGCUGCAGUGCGCCAAACGCUUCAUCUGCGUCGGAGCGGACGGCUGUUCGUGUGGCUCCCUGCGCAGCGACCGCUCCGAGGUCCGUGUGCGGGAGUGGGUGAAAACCAGGCACAAGCAGGAGAUGGGCUCCAACCAGGGUUACCUCAUGCUGGACAAGAAAGGAAACGCCAACGUGCCCGAGGGGUGGACGUGCACCACGGAGCCGACCCAGUGGCGGCAGGCUCGGGACUCCACCCUCCAGGGCUGCCUCCAG
Molecule: long non-coding RNA, 306 nt
Organism: Amphibalanus amphitrite
Lineage: Eukaryota; Metazoa; Arthropoda; Thecostraca; Balanomorpha; Balanidae
Exons: 3
Source: RefSeq, a predicted model, not a curated record